This 465-nucleotide ribosomal RNA is filed under the name uncultured bacterium. Its description in RNAcentral is "partial 16S ribosomal RNA". It matches the Rfam family "Bacterial small subunit ribosomal RNA", at positions 338 to 795 of the family's 1533-position model. The record is from RNAcentral.
CCUACGUGAGGCAGCAGUGGGGAAUAUUGCGCAAUGGGCGAAAGCCUGACGCAGCGACGCCGCGUGAGGGAUGAAGGUCUUCGGAUCGUAAACCUCUGUCAGCAGGGAAGAACGGUCACUGUGCUAAUCAGCAGUGAAUUGACGGUACCUGCAAAGGAAGCACCGGCUAACUCCGUGCCAGCAGCCGCGGUAAGACGGAGGGUGCGAGCGUUAAUCGGAAUUACUGGGCGUAAAGCGCUCGUAGGCGGUAUGUCAAGUCAAGGGUGAAAUCCCCGCGCUCAACGUGGGAACUGCCUUUGAAACUGGCAAACUGGAGUGUGUGAGAGGAUAGUGGAAUUCCAGGUGUAGGAGUGAAAUCCGUAGAUAUCUGGAGGAACAUCAGUGGCGAAGGCGACUAUCUGGCACAUAACUGACGCUGAGGAGCGAAAGCGUGGGUAGCAAACAGGAUUAGAUACCCUGGUAGUC